ACGGAGGGUGCGAGCGUUAAUCGGAAUUACUGGGCGUAAAGCGUGCGUAGGCGGUUCGUUAAGUCAGAUGUGAAAGCCCCGGGCUUAACCUGGGAACUGCAUUUGAAACUGGCGGACUAGAGUUGAGUAGAGGGGAGUGGAAUUUCAGGUGUAGCGGUGAAAUGCGUAGAUAUCUGAAGGAACACCAGUGGCGAAGGCGACUCCCUGGACUCAAACUGACGCUGAGGUACGAAAGCGUGGGUAGCAAACAG
This 251-nucleotide ribosomal RNA is filed under the name uncultured prokaryote. RNAcentral's name for it is "partial 16S rRNA". It matches the Rfam family "Bacterial small subunit ribosomal RNA", at positions 525 to 775 of the family's 1533-position model. The record is from RNAcentral.